This is a long non-coding RNA of Haliotis rubra (blacklip abalone), 324 nucleotides long. RefSeq lists it as uncharacterized. Lineage: Eukaryota; Metazoa; Mollusca; Gastropoda; Lepetellida; Haliotidae. The transcript has 2 exons. The record is from RefSeq and is a predicted model, not a curated record.
AAUUCUGUGGAACAAGUACAAAAUCAAUGUGAAAUUCUGUGAAACAAGUACAAAUCAAUGUGAAAUUCUGUAGAACAAGUACAAAUCAAUGUGAAAUUCUGUGGAACUAGUACAAAUCAGUGUGAAAUUCUGUGGAACUAGUACAAAUCAAUGUGAAAUUCUGUGGAACAAGUACAAAUCAAUGUGAAAUUCUGUGGAACUAAUACAAAUCAAUGUGAAAUUCUGUGGAACAAGUACAAAUCAAUGUGAAAUUCUGUUGAACUAGUACAAAUCAAUGUGAAAUUCUGUUGAACUAGUGCGAAUCUAGAUUUCACACAGAAAGAG